This 516-nucleotide ribosomal RNA is filed under the name Bacillus cereus. RNAcentral's name for it is "bacterial SSU rRNA". It matches the Rfam family "Bacterial small subunit ribosomal RNA", at positions 376 to 883 of the family's 1533-position model. Lineage: Bacteria; Bacillati; Bacillota; Bacilli; Caryophanales; Bacillaceae. The record is from RNAcentral.
CUAGAGUCUGACGGAGCACGCCGCGUGAGUGAUGAAGGCUUUCGGGUCGUAAAACUCUGUUGUUAGGGAAGAACAAGUGCUAGUUGAAUAAGCUGGCACCUUGACGGUACCUAACCAGAAAGCCACGGCUAACUACGUGCCAGCAGCCGCGGUAAUACGUAGGUGGCAAGCGUUAUCCGGAAUUAUUGGGCGUAAAGCGCGCGCAGGUGGUUUCUUAAGUCUGAUGUGAAAGCCCACGGCUCAACCGUGGAGGGUCAUUGGAAACUGGGAGACUUGAGUGCAGAAGAGGAAAGUGGAAUUCCAUGUGUAGCGGUGAAAUGCGUAAAGAUAUGGAGGAACACCAGUGGCGAAGGCGACUUUCUGGUCUGUAACUGACACUGAGGCGCGAAAGCGUGGGGAGCAAACAGGAUUAGAUACCCUGGUAGUCCACGCCGUAAACGAUGAGUGCUAAGUGUUAGAGGGUUUCCGCCCUUUAGUGCUGAAGUGAACGCAUUAAGCACUCCGCCUGGGGGAGAG